CUUUAUAUCAGUAUGUACAAUUUUUUAUAUUUCACAGCUGUUAUUGUUGGAGGUAUUGAUAUGAUGACACAGUCUCUAAUGUUAGCUAAGAAGCCACAUGUUAUAGUUGCAACUCCUGGAAGGUUGGUUGACCACCUAGAGAACACAAAAGGCUUUAAUCUUAAAGCUGUAAAAUAUUUGAUGAUGGAUGAAGCUGAUAGAAUGUU
This is a long non-coding RNA of Limulus polyphemus (Atlantic horseshoe crab), 206 nucleotides long. RefSeq lists it as uncharacterized. The record is from RefSeq and is a predicted model, not a curated record. Lineage: Eukaryota; Metazoa; Arthropoda; Merostomata; Xiphosura; Limulidae. The transcript has 3 exons.